ACGCAAUAGAUACCCGGGUAGUCCACGCCCUAAACGAUGUCUACUAGUUGUCGGGUCUUAAUUGACUUGGUAAACGCAGCUAAACGCGUGAAGUAGACCGCCUGGGGAGUACGGUCGCAAGAUUAAAACUCAAAGGAAUUGACGGGGACCCGCACAAGCGGUGGAUGAUGUGGAUUAAUUCGAUGCAACGCGAAAAACCUUACCUACCCUUGACAUGGAUGGAAUCCCUGAGAGAUUGGGGAGUGCCCGAAAGGGAACCAUUACACAGGUGCUGCAUGGCUGUCGUCAGCUCGUGUCGUGAGAUGUUGGGUUAAGUCCCGCAACGAGCGCAACCCUUGUCAUUAGUUGCUACGAAAGGGGCACUCUAAUGAGACUGCCGGUGACAAACCGGAGGAAGGUGGGGAUGACGUCAAGUCCUCAUGGCCCUUAUGGGUAGGGCUUCACACGUCAUACAAUGGUACAUACAGAGGGCCGCCAACCCGCGAGGGGGAGCUAAUCCCAGAAAGUGUAUCGUAGUCCGGAUUGUAGUCUGCAACUCG
RNAcentral lists this ribosomal RNA (539 nucleotides) under uncultured bacterium. RNAcentral's name for it is "bacterial SSU rRNA". It matches the Rfam family "Bacterial small subunit ribosomal RNA", at positions 773 to 1314 of the family's 1533-position model. The record is from RNAcentral.